GAUGAAGAACGUAGCGAAAUGCGAUAAGUAAUGUGAAUUGCAGAAUUCAGUGAAUCAUCGAAUCUUUGAACGCACAUUGCGCCCGCCAGUAUUCUGGCGGGCAUGCCUGUUCGAGCGUCAUUACAACCCUCAGGCCCCCGGGCCUGGCGUUGGGGAUCGGCGGAAGCCCCCUGCGGGCACAACGCCGUCCCCCAAAUACAGUGGCGGUCCCGCCGCAGCUUCCAUUGCGUAGUAGCUAACACCUCGCAACUGGAGAGCGGCGCGGCCACGCCGUAAAACACCCAACUUCUGAAUGUUGACCUCGAAUAAGGUAGGAAUACCCGCUGAACUUAAGCAUAUCAAUAAGCGGAGGA
RNAcentral lists this unclassified non-coding RNA (353 nucleotides) under soil metagenome. RNAcentral describes it as "partial contains 5.8S ribosomal RNA, internal transcribed spacer 2, and large subunit ribosomal RNA". The stretch from base 1 to 120 matches the Rfam family "5.8S ribosomal RNA", at positions 35 to 154 of the family's 154-position model. The record is from RNAcentral.